CCAGCCUCUCCUGGGAGCCUUUGAGAACUGCAGACAUGCAGACCUGCCCCAGACCUUCAGGAUUCCCCUCAGGUGAUUCCCAGGCACAGUCGAGUUUGGGACGCCCUGGAGGAGGGGGCUUGGGUUUCCGUCUCAGCUCUGCCACACGCAGGAGUCCCUGAGUGCCAGGACUGCAUAACCUGGGGAACUCAGAAGAAAGACUCAUGCCAGGAUCCCGCCAACGAUGAGACAAAGACAGAGAUUCACUUUGAAAAACGCUCCAGGUGGCUCUAAUGUGUCACAGAUUGAGAGCGAUUGGAAUAGAUCAUUUCUGAGGUUCCUUCCCACCCUGGGUGAGUCUGAGAGCCUUCCCUUCCUCUGCCCGGGAAAAGGAGUUAAAACAUCCUUUUGACUUUAAAGAGGCCCCAAAGCCUCAUGCAGCACUCAAGGCCCUGGAGUGAGGAGGGGCUGGCCUGCACAGCUGGCCCUUCAGAUGAAGCUCUCCAGUGUCCCUUAGGACUGGCCCAAGAGUCAGCAGACUGCAAACACCACCGAGAGUGCCAAGGAGAAAGUUCCAGACAAGAUCUGGAUCCCAGGAACAUCCUGGCUGUUGCUGUAUAUAUCCACACCAAUAGACACUGAGCUGGGGUGCAGAUCAGAACUGCUCUGGAUUGGUUGCAGGCAUUUUCUUUACACCUGUGGUUCAAGCCCACAACCAUCUGCUGAGCCCCUGCCACGUACUAGUUACAGCGGCUGCCAGAGAAGCUCUGGGAAGUUCUGGGAACGUUAAUUUAACCACAUGGUGCAGGUGGUGCCCUCUGUAAUAACUGGGCCUAGGAAAGGAGUCUGCCCCCGACCUUCCACACCACAAAGCAAGACCCUGCUUUAGUCUGCAUUGCUUCCGCCUUCUGGCUGGUUUUCACUGGAGCAGCGUUGUGCCUAUCAACCAUUACCCAGCUCUCACUCAACAACUCUGAACACUUAUUGUGGAACUGACUUUGCUCUGUCCGGCGCUGCAUUUUCUAAGACUGGCUGUUACCUGUGUGAAAGGGACGUCAGGCAUUCUUGUUGGAGAGCGAGUCCCGGGAGAACAGCUUCCCUGAGUGGCUGGUCCAUGCUGAAGGGGCAUAGCGGGCGCCGUGGGGGGGCUACAGCGGCCAGUCCCUGGUGCCACCGUCCUCCACACAGCGCCCUGCACCUGCAGACUUGGCAGAAGCUCCUGCUCCAUUUCUUGCUGGGCUGGGAUGAUUCAGGAUCCCCCACCGUCCAACAGAGUUGGCUCCUGAGGGGGAACAGCGCUGAAGGAGAGCUUCUCAUUUCCCCCUUGACUCAGCCUGCGGACUUUGCUGGAAUAAAAGGAGGUUGGCAUUUAUGUGCUGUGAUUUCAGGGACACCAGAAAGGCCUUUCCUUUGCUCCCCUCACUGCCCCACUCCCACCCAAAAAAAACCCCCAGAAAACUCUCUCCUCUACGUUGCCUGCUGAAAUUCAACUAAUGGGAUUUUGUUCUUUUA
Molecule: RNA transcript, 1491 nt
Organism: Balaenoptera ricei (Rice's whale)
Lineage: Eukaryota; Metazoa; Chordata; Mammalia; Artiodactyla; Balaenopteridae
Exons: 8
Source: RefSeq, a predicted model, not a curated record